GUAAUAUAUCGGAACGUGCCCAGUCGUGGGGGAUAACGUAGCGAAAGUUACGCUAAUACCGCAUACGAUCUAUGGAUGAAAGCGGGGGACCGUAAGGCCUCGCGCGAUUGGAGCGGCCGAUAUCAGAUUAGGUAGUUGGUGGGGUAAAGGCUCACCAAGCCAACGAUCUGUAGCUGGUCUGAGAGGACGACCAGCCACACUGGAACUGAGACACGGUCCAGACUCCUACGGGAGGCAGCAGUGGGGAAUUUUGGACAAUGGACGCAAGUCUGAUCCAGCCAUUCCGCGUGCAGGAUGAAGGCCCUCGGGUUGUAAACUGCUUUUGUACGGAACGAAAAGGUCUCUAUUAAUACUAGGGGCUCAUGACGGUACCGUAAGAAUAAGCACCGGCUAACUACGUGCCAGCAGCCGCGGUAAUACGUAGGGUGCAAGCGUUAAUCGGAAUUACUGGGCGUAAAGCGUGCGCAGGCGGUUAUGUAAGACAGAGGUGAAAUCCCCGGGCUCAACCUGGGAACUGCCUUUGUGACUGCAUAGCUAGAGUACGGUAGAGGGGGAUGGAAUUCCGCGUAUAGCAGUGAAAUGCGUAGAUAUGUGGAGGAACACCGAUGGCGAAGGCAAUCCCCUGGACCUGUACUGACGCUCAUGCA
Molecule: ribosomal RNA, 647 nt
Filed under: uncultured bacterium
Lineage: Bacteria
Description: bacterial SSU rRNA
Rfam family: Bacterial small subunit ribosomal RNA
Source: RNAcentral